AUACCUUUCUCGGGCUUUUGGUUAAGAUAAGGUGUAAUAUUUGUUCUUAUCAGUUUAAUAUAGGAUAUGUUCACUCUGAUCUUACAUUUAUUUUUUAUGGGUAUCAAAUAUGUUUGUGUGCCGUCGCAAUGCACGGGCGUUGUACUAGUC
RNAcentral lists this small nuclear RNA (150 nucleotides) under Zea mays. RNAcentral's name for it is "U2 spliceosomal RNA". It matches the Rfam family "U2 spliceosomal RNA". From Rfam's summary of the family: U2 is a small nuclear RNA (snRNA) component of the spliceosome (involved in pre-mRNA splicing). Complementary binding between U2 snRNA (in an area lying towards the 5' end but 3' to hairpin I) and the branchpoint sequence (BPS) of the intron results the bulging out of an unpaired adenosine, on the BPS, which initiates a nucleophilic attack at the intronic 5' splice site, thus starting the first of two transesterification reactions that mediate splicing. The record is from Rfam by way of RNAcentral. Lineage: Eukaryota; Viridiplantae; Streptophyta; Magnoliopsida; Poales; Poaceae.